RNAcentral lists this ribosomal RNA (254 nucleotides) under uncultured bacterium. RNAcentral's name for it is "partial 16S ribosomal RNA". It matches the Rfam family "Bacterial small subunit ribosomal RNA", at positions 524 to 776 of the family's 1533-position model. The record is from RNAcentral.
UACGUAGGGUGCGAGCGUUGUCCGGAAUUAUUGGGCGUAAAGAGCUCGUAGGCGGUGUGUCGCGUCGGCCGUGAAAACCUGGGGCUUAACUCUGGGCGUGCGGUCGAUACGGGCAUCACUGGAGUUCGGCAGGGGAGACUGGAAUUCCUGGUGUAGCGGUGAAAUGCGCAGAUAUCUGGAGGAACACCGGUGGCGAAGGCGGCAUCCUGGACCGAAAUUGACGCUGAGGCGCGAAAGCCAGGGGAGCAAACGGG